RNAcentral lists this long non-coding RNA (391 nucleotides) under Bos taurus (domestic cattle). RNAcentral's name for it is "long non-coding RNA NONBTAT024450". The record is from RNAcentral. Lineage: Eukaryota; Metazoa; Chordata; Mammalia; Artiodactyla; Bovidae.
UCUCUUGGGCUAAUUUCUCUAAGCCACCGGUCCAUUGCCAUCUUCUACCCCAUAUUCUGAGAGCCAGCAGAUGGGGAUUCGUGAAAUCGUUGGGUCAAGAAGUUCUUACCUGACUGCACAGCUCUAGGUUCUCAGAAUACACAGCGAUCUGUUGUCUGGACUGCUGCUCCUCUGACAGGUAACUGGCCAGGAGGAUGAGGACAUCAAAACCAAACUUUUCUGUGAAUGCUUUCAAAUCACUGGUGAUAUUGCUGUGAAAUGUACAGUUCUGAAACAACAGGCAAUUUGAUAUUAACAUCAAGCUGCUCGGCUCUGGUGAAUCAUGCCACAAAUUUGUCCAGUCUUAAGAUGUAUUACCAAUGAUACUUAUUAUUAGAUACAAAUGAAAUAA